UGCUCAUUAUUGUCACCCAUUUUACAGAUUGGGAAGGUGAGGAACAGAGGGGUGGAGAAACUUACCUAAGGUCACACAGAGUAAGUGGGAGAGCUGGGAUUUUGGCCACAGUAUUUUGGAUCCAGAGUUUGUGUAGAUGACCACUCUGCUGUACUACCAAGAAUUCAACCAAAGGCCAUGUGAAUCGCACCCCUGGAACUGUGCAGGGCCCACCUGUGUGGCCACACGCAGUGACCCUGAGCAAAGGAGUGACCACAGAAGUGCAUGGCAAAGCAGAAAGGUGUGACGUCUUGGAGGACGCGGGAGGAAAGCACGCCCAGCGGACAGGAGCCAUCACGCGGCUGCGGGCUGCUGCUGAGAACCUGGCGUGGGCCACCGUCGUCAGCAGCGUGGAGGGAGCCGAGGAGCAUGGACACCGUCUUCUCCUUCCAGCAGGCACAGGUAUGGAAGGAGACUGAGGCUGGUCUUGGAUGGACACUUGUUAUUGCAGUCAGAGUCCAUCUGGAUAAUCCUGGAUAAAUCUCAUCUGGAGAUCCUUCACCAGAUCACAUCGGCAAUGACCUGUUCCCCAAAUAAGGCCCUGUGCACAGGUUCUGGGGUGCUAGGAGUGAGCCACCAUGCCUGGCCCAGUUUUUAAUGCUUGGACAUCUCCAAAAUCAGGACAUAUCUUGUAAUUGAAGACGUCUCACCAUAGCGGCCAGCCGUGCAACCACUGGGCCUGUCUGUGCCUGAACAACACACUGGCCUGCCUUUGCCUGAACAAGACAGCCUUAGUCUCAAAGCUUGCAGAUGGGUGUGGCCUGGUAGAAAAUUCUCAAGACAACGGCGGAGCACGCUUGCCCCUAGGAGACCAAGUGGCCGGAAUGUUGAGAAUCAGCCUUUCGCAGAAAUCCCCUAAGCGGGAGGCAGCAGGCUGACUCCAUCAGCCCCAGGCAGGCUUCUGGGCCCUGCAGCUAUGGCUCUUCAUCCUUUUACAUGUUCUUCGAGAAUCAGCUGCACCCUGGAUGCUUCUGACAGCUCAGAGGACAUCAGCAUGAGGACAAGCACAGGGCUUGAUGGCUCGGAGGGAAAUGGAGUUGGAAGAUUUGGACUUAAUGUGCACACAUUUUAGAAAUAUCUUAACAAAUUUUAUUUUGCUGAUAUCUUUCUUUUUUGUGUGUGCCAAAGUGAUGGCCAGUACAAAUCCAUGUCUAAUUAAGUCCAGAAGAGCUCCUUCAAUAAGCGUAAGAUGAAAGUUAUGAGUGAUAAGAAAGCGUCAUGUCAGUUUAAUUGGCAGCAUUUUCUCUUUCUUAGUGGUUCAUAAAAUAAGGCAGUGCUUUGCUAUCGACGGUGUCUGAAAUUCUGUGAAUAUUCAAAGUUAAAUCUCAUGCUGAACAGCCACUGUGCGCAAGGCGGGUGA
Molecule: long non-coding RNA, 1399 nt
Filed under: Homo sapiens (human)
Lineage: Eukaryota; Metazoa; Chordata; Mammalia; Primates; Hominidae
Description: HSALNT0289911
Source: RNAcentral